AAACGAAUUUACGAACAUUUUGUCCCUUGCAGUACAACUUUCAAAAGACAUCUUCAUCAAGUAGGUAAGAC
This is a non-coding RNA of Callithrix jacchus (white-tufted-ear marmoset), 71 nucleotides long. NCBI's taxonomy places the organism in Eukaryota, Metazoa, Chordata, Mammalia, Primates, Cebidae. The record is from Rfam.